ACCUGGUUGAUCCUGCCAGUAGUCAUAUGCUUGUCUCAAAGCUUAAGCCAUGCAAGUGUAAGUUCACGCCACGCAUUAGAACGGGCGAAACCGCGAAUGGCUCAGGAACCGGACCUAAUCCUCGGGACCGUAAUCCUCCUCGGAGGCGAUGGAUAACUGUGGCAAUUCUAGAGCUAAUACAUGUGACACAGGCCGCGAUCGGUCGUCGCGCCGUGGUCGCCUCGCCUUCUUGCGCGCUGGCACCCGCGACGGCCGUCUUGGGUCGCGGCGCUACAUAUUAGACUGAGACCGAUGCGCGAUUCCCGUCCUCCCUUCGGUUAGCUGCGGGUCUCACGGCUCGCGCUUUCUGUCGGGRCCAAAGGUCGGCGCGCUCCGCUUUGGUGACUCUGGAUAACUCACUGGUCGAUCGCACGGGCUUCCACGCCCGGCGACGGGUCCCUCGAGGGUCCGCCCUAUCAACUGUCGACGGUCGGUUAAGUGCCUACCGUGGUUACUACGGGUAACGGGGAAUCGGGGUUCGAUUCCGGAGAGGGAGCAUGCGAAACGGCUACCACAUCCAAGGAAGGCAGCAGGCGCGCAAAUUACCCACUCCCGGCACGGGGAGGUAGUGACGAAAAAUAACGACGCGGGACUCUGUCGAGGCCCCGCGAUCGGAAUGAGUACACUUCAAAUCCGUUAACGAGGACCAACCGGAGGGCAAGUCUGGUGCCAGCAGCCGCGGUAAUUCCAGCUCCGGUAGCGUAUAUUAAAGUUGUUGCGGUUAAAAAGCUCGUAGUCCGAACUCGGGUUCGUGGUCGCUCACGCGGCCCCGGGGCGGCGGCGCCAUCGUCCAUCGUUGACUUUGGUCGUCCGUUCGCAUUCCCGGCCCUUUCCGCCGGUGUCAAUCGCUAUAUAGACGGCCGCGUGGUCAACUGGUGGUAGGCGCGACUCUUGGGUCUUCGGGUGUCGGGCCUCUGUCUUUGCUCGGCCCUUUUGCCUUUUUUCGGGGUUUUGGUGGACGAACGUGCGGGCUCACGCCCAAACCGCAAUCCGUCAAUCUCCUCGGGCCUUGGUGGAGGGUUGGGUGGGGCGGAUCCGGCGUCUGGUUUCCCGGGAUUCCGGGCUUUCGGGCCCCCUAUCGCUAAGUUCCUCGCGUCGCCGUCGGUGAUUUCUCCUCCAAGGGUGCUCUUAACCGAGUGUCCGCGGCGGCCGGUACGUUCACUUUGAAAAAAUUAGAGUGCUCAGAGCGGGCUGUUCAAGCUUGCAUACGAUAAGCAUGGAAUGAUGGAAGAGGGCCUCGUCUACGUCUGUCGGUCUCCGUCUACGGCGAGGCAAUGAUCGAAGGGAGCGGUCGGGGCCACUCGUAUUGCGACGUUAGAGGUGAAAUUCUUGGAUCGUCGCAAGACGAACUGCAGCGAUGGCGUGUGGCAAGCACGUUUUCCUCGAUCAAGAGCGAAAGUCGGAGGUUCGAAGACGAUCAGAUACCGUCGUAGUUCCGACCGUAAACGAUGCCGACCGGCGAUCCGCCGGCGUUCGCUUCCAUGACCCGGCGGGUAGCCUGCGGGAAACCAGAGUUCGGUUCCGGGGGGAGUAUGGUUGCAAAGCUGAAACUUAAAGGAAUUGACGGAAGGGCACCACCAGGAGUGGAGCCUGCGGCUUAAUUUGACUCAACACGGGAAAACUCACCCGGUCCGGACACCGGUAGGAUUGACAGAUCGAUAGCUCUUUCUCGAUUCGGUGGGUGGUGGUGCAUGGCCGUUCUUAGUUGGUGGAGCGAUCCGUCUGGUUGAUUCCGAUAACGAACGAGACUCCGGCCUGCUAACUAGUGCGCCGAUGUCAGUGCGGCGUCGCAUCCCGGCGUCGUGUGCGGGCUCGUCGGCGCGAUUUUUGAUCGUGUCCUCUCGUGUCCGGGUCGGUUUCUCACGCACUUCUUAGAGGGACGGGUGGCAGAAAGCCACACGAGGCGGAGCGAUAACAGGUCUGUGAUGCCCUUAGAUGUCCGGGGCCGCACGCGCGCUACACUGGAGGUAUCAGCGGGGACUUCGCCCCGGCCCGAGAGGGUCGGGAAACCUCUCAACCACCUCCCGUGAUAGGGAUCGGGGCCUGUAACCAACCCCGUGAACGAGGAAUUCCCGGUAGGCGCGGGUCAACAGCCCGCGUCGAUCACGUCCCUGCCCUUUGUACACACCGCCCGUCGCUACUACCGAUCGAACGGUCCGGUGAGGUCCUCGGAUCUGGCCGACGACGCCGCCGGGUGGCGGCCCUCGCGGGUCACCGCCUCGGCGUUCGAUGCCUGGAGAAGACGACCGAACCCGAUCGUUUAGAGGAAGUAAAAGUCGUAACAAGGUUUCCGUAGGUGAACCUGCGGAAGGAUCAUUA
This 2358-nucleotide ribosomal RNA is filed under the name Bathothauma lyromma. Its description in RNAcentral is "SSU rRNA". Lineage: Eukaryota; Metazoa; Mollusca; Cephalopoda; Oegopsida; Cranchiidae. The record is from RNAcentral.